GUCCCGUUCGUCUAGAGGCCUAGGACAUCGCCCUCUCACGGCGACAACACGGGUUCGAAUCCCGUACGGGACG
RNAcentral lists this transfer RNA (73 nucleotides) under Komagataeibacter saccharivorans. Its description in RNAcentral is "Gluconacetobacter saccharivorans tRNA". It matches the Rfam family "tRNA". From Rfam's summary of the family: Transfer RNA (tRNA) molecules are approximately 80 nucleotides in length. RNAcentral also lists the same sequence under 3 other names. Lineage: Bacteria; Pseudomonadati; Pseudomonadota; Alphaproteobacteria; Acetobacterales; Acetobacteraceae. The record is from Rfam by way of RNAcentral.